This 482-nucleotide ribosomal RNA is filed under the name uncultured bacterium. RNAcentral describes it as "partial 16S ribosomal RNA". It matches the Rfam family "Bacterial small subunit ribosomal RNA", at positions 28 to 507 of the family's 1533-position model. The record is from RNAcentral.
GACGAACGCUGGCGGCGUGCUUAACACAUGCAAGUCGAACGAUGAAGCAGAGAAACGCCACCUUCGGUUCAAAUUUCACUUCGGAUUAGUGGCAGACGGGUGAGUAACGCGUGAGCAACCUACCUCUUACAAAGGGAUAGCCUCGGGAAACCGUGAUUAAUACCAUAUGACACAUUCAUAAGGCAUCUUAAGAAUGUUAAAGCUACGGCGGUAAGAGAUGGGCUCGCGUCCCAUUAGCUAGUUGGUGAGGUAACGGCCCACCAAGGCGACGAUGGGUAACCGGCCUGAGAGGGUGAACGCUCACAUUGGAACUGAGACACGGUCCAAACUCCUACGGGAGGCAGCAGUGGGGAAUAUUGCACAAUGGAGGGAACUCUGAUGCAGCGACGCCGCGUGAGCGAUGAAGGAAUUCGUUUCGUAAAGCUCUGUUCUAUGGGAAGAAAAGGACUGUACCAUAGGAGAAAGCCCCGGCUAAAUACGUG